AUUGAACGCUGGCGGCAUGCUUUACACAUGCAAGUCGAACGGCAGCGCGGGCUUCGGCCUGGCGGCGAGUGGCGAACGGGUGAGUAAUACAUCGGAACGUGCCCAGCAGUGGGGGAUAGCUCGGCGAAAGCCGGAUUAACACCGCAUACGACCUGAGGGUGAAAGCGGGGGAUCUUCGGACCUCGCGCUAUUGGAGCGGCCGAUGGCAGAUUAGCUAGUUGGUGGGGUAAAGGCCUACCAAGGCGACGAUCUGUAGCUGGUCUGAGAGGACGACCAGCCACACUGGGACUGAGACACGGCCCAGACUCCUACGGGAGGCAGCAGUGGGGAAUUUUGGACAAUGGGCGAAAGCCUGAUCCAGCAAUGCCGCGUGUGUGAUGAAGGCCUUCGGGUUGUAAAGCACUUUUGGCGGGAACGAAAAGGACUGUGCCAAUACCACGGUUCGAUGACGGUACCCGCAGAAUAAGCACCGGCUAACUACGUG
Molecule: ribosomal RNA, 484 nt
Filed under: uncultured bacterium
Lineage: Bacteria
Description: partial 16S ribosomal RNA
Rfam family: Bacterial small subunit ribosomal RNA
Source: RNAcentral